Molecule: non-coding RNA, 77 nt
Organism: Myotis lucifugus (little brown bat)
Lineage: Eukaryota; Metazoa; Chordata; Mammalia; Chiroptera; Vespertilionidae
Source: Rfam
GGCGGUUCUUAGGUGACACACCCCAGAAUCAGGUUCCCUCCUUUCUGGUUCCAGGUGCAUCACUCGAGAACUCUGCA